RNAcentral lists this ribosomal RNA (349 nucleotides) under uncultured bacterium. RNAcentral's name for it is "bacterial SSU rRNA". It matches the Rfam family "Bacterial small subunit ribosomal RNA", at positions 8 to 350 of the family's 1533-position model. The record is from RNAcentral.
AGAGUUUGAUCAUGGCUCAGGAUGAACGCUGGCGGCGUGCUUAACACAUGCAAGUCGAACGGACUUUAUAUGAAGCCUAGCGAUUAUAAAGUUAGUGGCGGACGGGUGAGUAACGCGUGAAUAACCUGCCCUGUACCGGGGGACAACAGUUGGAAACGGCUGCUAAUACCGCAUAAGCGCACGGUUCCGCAUGGAACAGUGUGAAAAACUCCGGUGGUACAGGAUGGAUUCGCGUCUGAUUAGCCAGUUGGUGGGGUAACGGCCUACCAAAGCAACGAUCAGUAGCCGGCCUGAGAGGGUGAACGGCCACAUUGGGACUGAGACACGGCCCAAACCUCCGUACGGAGCA